UAAUUCUUUUUAACCCCAUGGCCUCACACAUAGUAGGUUCUGAAGUAUUCCCUGAAGUAAUACUCUGAAUUAACCUGCUCACGUAUGAAAAUAAUAACAAAACCACUAGUGAAAAGGCCAGACAUUGUUAGACAUUAACGAUGUGCCAGGCACUGGAUUUAAUAUGGAUAAUCUUGCUCCUCAGAACAGCACUAUGAGGUAUAUGUUAUGAGAAUGUUUUAUUUUCCAGGUGAGGAAACUGAGGCAUUGGGUAAUUUGCUGAAGAUCAGAGAUUGAGGAAGUAGCAAGCCAGGCACUUAAGUACAUUUUCUCUGCUCUUAUAACUAAUAUGAAGUAACAGUUUUAAAUGUAUUCUUGUAGGUUUCCGUGAUGAUAUAAUCCUUGGCAAUUCACCAAGAAAUCUCUUCUACUUCUCUUUCAUCUUUUGUGGGAGAGAUACGCAUCCCAAAAUAUUAGGCACAUUUAAAACUUGCAGGCUGUUCUAAGUGUUUACUGUUUCCACUCUAUGAGAUGUAUCCUCUUACUGGAAGUUAAUUGCAGUAAAGCAUGUGAACAACUCCGAGGAUGCUAAAAUAUAAAACUUGAAGAAGCAUUGGAAAAUAAGUGAGAUGCUAAAUCAAAAAGAUAAAGUAAGGCUAAGAGACCAAUCACCUAACCUAAAGCCUCAAGCUCUUUAUCAGCAAAAAUGUUUUGUGGAAGAGCAAGGAAGCCACAGACAUUCCUCAACCCUCAAGCUAAGCAGUCGCCUUCAUUGGAAGGACCAGGCCUGUCAGAACCGGAACAAUGAGACUGAUAACCAAACACUAGAAUGGACAAAGAACAUCUCAGAACCCUGUGGGGACCAGUGAUGCUAGGACCUGACAUCUCCCGCUUCCUAUCUUGGCACUUUAGAAAUUCCCGGACCUGAUUAACACAGGCCUGGGGAAGAGGGAGGGCCUCUGUUGAUAAGAUUAUUGUCACUGAGGCUGAGUGGGGGCUUGAAAAAGAAAUAAAGCUCAGUUAUGGAAAAAAAUUCUAUUUGUUACACAUUCGAGUUUGUAGACUGAAGUUCAUUCCUGCUACUCUGUUAUCUGUGAGUAUUCUAUAGUAACCAACAGUGUUUAUGUUUAGUAUUUAUAAGAAUUUUCUCUUUACUCAAAGAUCAUGAGGUUUUAUUUUUUAACAUUUUAUUUGGUGCAGAUACUUGAGAAAAACAAACUGAAGGAUACCAAUAAACACUUCCAUGCCUGGCAUCAUUGCCUCACUAGGUUAUGAGUUCCUGUAGGACAGGGUCCACACAUUUACUUUGAAUCUCCCAUCUGGUUAGUAGCACACAGGAUGCUUGUAUUUAGUAGGUACUCGGUAAAUGUUCAA
Long non-coding RNA from Lutra lutra (Eurasian river otter), 1353 nucleotides. RefSeq lists it as uncharacterized. The transcript is spliced from 3 exons. NCBI's taxonomy places the organism in Eukaryota, Metazoa, Chordata, Mammalia, Carnivora, Mustelidae. The record is from RefSeq and is a predicted model, not a curated record.